This 458-nucleotide ribosomal RNA is filed under the name uncultured bacterium. Its description in RNAcentral is "partial 16S ribosomal RNA". It matches the Rfam family "Bacterial small subunit ribosomal RNA", at positions 338 to 795 of the family's 1533-position model. The record is from RNAcentral.
CCUACGGGCGGCAGCAGUGAGGAAUAUUGGUCAAUGGGCGAGAGCCUGAACCAGCCAAGUCGCGUGAGGGAGUACUGCCCUAUGGGUUGUAAACCUCUUUUGUCGGGGAGCAAAAGCCGGACGUGUCCGGCUGUGGGAGUACCCGAAGAAAAAGCAUCGGCAAACCUCGUGCCAGCAGCCGCGGUAAUACGGAGGAUUCGAGCGUUUUCCGGAUUUAUUGGGGUUAAGGGGUGCGCAGGCGGAUUUUUAAGUCAGCGGUAAAAUCGUGGGGCUCAACCCCAUCCAGCCGUUGAAACUGGGGAUCUAGAGUGUGCGAGAGGUAUGCGGAAUGCGUGGUGUAGCGGUGAAAUGCAUAGAUAUCACGCAGAACCCCGAUUGCGAAGGCAGCAUACCGGUGCACAACUGACGCUCAGGCACGAAAGCGUGGGUAUCGAACAGGAUUAGAUACCCUAGUAGUC